AUGAAGAGUUUGAUCCUGGCUCAGAAUGAACGUUGGCGGUGUGCUUAACACAUGCAAGUCGAGCGAGAGAGUCUCUUCGGAGAUGAGUAAAGCGGCGAACGGGUGAGUAACGCGUGAGGAUCUGCCUUUAAGUGAAGGAUACCCUUGAGAAAUUAAGGUUAAUACUGCAUACGUCCGUCAUUAACAUGACGGAGAAAGAUGGCUUAGGCUGUCGCUGAAAGAUGAACUUGCGUUCUAUUAGCUAGUUGGUGGGGUAAAGGCCUACCAAGGCGAUGAUGGAUAGCCGGCCUGAGAGGGUGAACGGCCACAUUGGAACUGAGAAACGGUCCAGACUCCUACGGGAGGCAGCAGUGAGGAAUAUUGCACAAUGGGCGAAAGCCUGAUGCAGCGACACCGCGUGAAGGAUGAAGGUCUUAGGAUUGUAAACUUCUGUUAAGUGGGAAAAAAGAAUCGCUUCAAAUAAAAGCGAGAGAUGAUGGUACCACUAGAGAAAGCACCGGCUAACUUCGUGCCAGCAGCCGCGGUAAUACGAGGGGUGCAAACGUUAUUCGGAAUUACUGGGUGUAAAGGGUACGUAGACGGCAUAUUAAGUUAAUUGUUAAAUUCCCCAGCUUAACUGGGGGUAGGCGGUUAAAACUAAUAAGCUAGAGGAUGAGAGAGAGAAGUGGAAUUCUCGGAGUAGCGGUAAAAUGCGUAGAUCUCGAGAGGAACACCGAUGGCGAAGGCAGCUUCUUGGCUCAUUUCUGACGUUGAGGUACGAAAGCGUGGGGAGCAAACAGGAUUAGAUACCCUGGUAGUCCACGCUGUAAACGAUGAUCACUAGACGUUAGGCUUGCUUGCAGGCUUAGUGUCGCAGCUAACGCGAUAAGUGAUCCACCUGGGGACUACGGUCGCAAGAUUAAAACUCAAAGGAAUUGACGGGGGUCCGCACAAGCGGUGGAACAUGUGGUUUAAUUCGUCACUACGCGAGAAACCUUACCUAGGCUUGACAUGCUUUUGACUGCUGCAGAAACGUAGCUUUCUAGACUUCGGUUUAGACAAUUGCACAGGUGCUGCAUGGCUGUCGUCAGCUCGUGUCGUGAGAUGUUUGGUUAAGUCCUCUAACGAGCGCAACUCCUACCGUUAGUUGCUAUUCCGUAAGGAAGCACUCUAGCGGGACUGCCUGGGAAACCAGGAGGAAGGUGGGAACGACGUCAAGUCAUCAUGGUCCUUAUGCCUAGGGCUACACACGUGUUACAAUGGUCGGUACAGAGAGUUGCAAACUAGUAAUAGUAAGCUAAUCUCUUAAAGCCGAUCUAAGUUCGGAUUGAGGUCUGCAACUCGACCUCAUGAAGUUGAAAUCGCUAGUAAUCGCGCAUCAGAACGGCGCGGUGAAUUCGUUCUCGGACCUUGUACACACCGCCCGUCACACCAUGAGAGUUUUUCAUACCCGAAGGCAUCUUAGCUAACCAUUUAUGGAGGCGGAUGACUAUGGUAAGGGAAGCGAUUGGGGUGAAGUCGUAACAAGGUAGCUGUAGGAGAACCUGCGGCUGGAUCACCUCCUUUC
This 1546-nucleotide ribosomal RNA is filed under the name Candidatus Chromulinivorax destructor. RNAcentral's name for it is "bacterial SSU rRNA". It matches the Rfam family "Bacterial small subunit ribosomal RNA". Lineage: Bacteria; Candidatus Babeliae; Candidatus Babeliales; Candidatus Chromulinivoracaceae. The record is from RNAcentral.